GACGAACGCUGGCGGCGUGCCUAAUACAUGCAAGUUGAGCGAUGAAGAUUGGUGCUUGCACCAAUUUGAAGAGCAGCGAACGGGUGAGUAACGCGUGGGGAAUCUGCCUUUGAGCGGGGGACAACAUUUGGAAACGAAUGCUAAUACCGCAUAACAACUUUAAACAUAAGUUUUAAGUUUGAAAGAUGCAAUUGCAUCACUCAAAGAUGAUCCCGCGUUGUAUUAGCUAGUUGGUGAGGUAAAGGCUCACCAAGGCGAUGAUACAUAGCCGACCUGAGAGGGUGAUCGGCCACAUUGGGAAUGAGACACGGCCCAAACUCCUACGGGAGGCAGCAGUAAGGAAUCUUCGGCAAUGGACGAAAGGCUGACCGAGCAACGCCGCGGGAGUGAAGAAGGGUUUCGGAUCGUAAAACUCUGUUGGUAGAGAAGAAAGUUGGUGAGAGUGGAAAGCUCAUCAAGUGACGGUAACUACCCAGAAAGGGACGGCUAACUACGUG
Molecule: ribosomal RNA, 497 nt
Filed under: uncultured bacterium
Lineage: Bacteria
Description: partial 16S ribosomal RNA
Rfam family: Bacterial small subunit ribosomal RNA
Source: RNAcentral